GUCCCUGUCGAUUAGUGGUUAGAUCAUCACGUUGUGGUUCACACAGUACCGUGAAGACGCAGGCUCGACUCCUGCCCGGGACA
RNAcentral lists this transfer RNA (83 nucleotides) under Lentinus tigrinus ALCF2SS1-7. RNAcentral describes it as "tRNA-His". It matches the Rfam family "tRNA". Rfam says of the family: Transfer RNA (tRNA) molecules are approximately 80 nucleotides in length. Their secondary structure includes four short double-helical elements and three loops (D, anti-codon, and T loops). The record is from RNAcentral. Lineage: Eukaryota; Fungi; Basidiomycota; Agaricomycetes; Polyporales; Polyporaceae. RNAcentral also lists the same sequence under 1 other name.